CCUACGGGAGACAGCAGUGAGGAAUAUUGGUCAAUGGACGAGAGUCUGAACCAGCCAAGUAGCGUGAAGGAUGACUGCCCUAUGGGUUGUAAACUUCUUUUAUAUGGGAAUAAAAUGUUCCACGUGUGGGAUUUUGUAUGUACCAUAUGAAUAAGGAUCGGCUAACUCCGUGCCAGCAGCCGCGGUAAUACGGAGGAUCCGAGCGUUAUCCGGAUUUAUUGGGUUUAACGGGAGCGUAGGUGGAUUGUUAAGUCAGUUGUGAAAGUUUGCGGCUCAACCGUAAAAUUGCAGUUGAAACUGGCAGUCUGGAGUACAGUAGAGGUGGGCGGAAUUCGUGGUGUAGCGGUGAAAUGCUUAGAUAUCACGAAGAACUCCGAUUGCGAAGGCAGCUCACUGGACUGCAACUGACACUGAGGCUCGAAAGUGUGGGUAUCAAACAGGAUUAGAUACCCGGGUAGUC
RNAcentral lists this ribosomal RNA (460 nucleotides) under uncultured bacterium. RNAcentral describes it as "partial 16S ribosomal RNA". It matches the Rfam family "Bacterial small subunit ribosomal RNA", at positions 338 to 795 of the family's 1533-position model. The record is from RNAcentral.